UAAGCAUAUCAAUAAGCGGAGGAAAAGAAACUAACAAGGAUUCCCCUAGUAACUGCGAGUGAAGCGGGAAAAGCUCAAAUUUAAAAUCUGGCAGUCUCUGGCUGUCCGAGUUGUAAUCUAGAGAAGUAAUGCCCGUGCUGGACCGUGUAUAAGUCUCCUGGGAUGGGGCGUCAUAGAGGGUGAGAAUCCCGUCUUUGACACGGACUACCAGUGCAUUGUGGUAUGCUCUCAAAGAGUCGAGUUGUUUGGGAAUGCAGCUCAAAAUGGGUGGUAAAUUCCAUCUAAAGCUAAAUAUUGGCGAGAGACCGAUAGCGAACAAGUACCGUGAGGGAAAGAUGAAAAGAACUUUGGAAAGAGAGUUAAACAGUACGUGAAAUUGCUGAAAGGGAAACGCUUGAAGUCAGUCGCGUUGGCCGGGAAUCAGCCUUGCUUUUGCAUGGUGUACUUUCUGGUUGACGGGUCAGCAUCAAUUUUGACCGCUGGAAAAAGGCCUGGGGAAUGUGGCAGCUUCGGCUGUGUUAUAGCCCCUAGUUGCAUACAGUGGUUGGGAUUGAGGAACUCAGCACGCCGCAAGGCCGGGUUUCGACCACGUUCGUGCUUAGGAUGCUGGCAUAAUGGCUUUAAGCGACCCGUCUUGAAACACGGACCAAGGAGUCUAACAUGCCUGCGAGUAUUUGGGUGGAAAACUCAAGUGCGUAAUGAAAGUGAAAGUUGAGAUCCCUGUCGUGGGGAGCAUCGACGCCCGGACCAGAACUUUUGGGACGGAUCCGCGGUGGAGCAUGUAUGUUGGGACCCGAAAGAUGGUGAACUAUGCCUGAAUAGGGUGAAGCCAGAGGAAACUCUGGUGGAGGCUCGUAGCGAUUCUGACGUGCAAAUCGAUCGUCAAAUUUGGGUAUAGGGGCGAAAGACUAAUCGAACCAUCUAGUAGCUGGU
This 933-nucleotide ribosomal RNA is filed under the name Agaricus pseudopallens. RNAcentral's name for it is "partial 28S ribosomal RNA". It matches the Rfam family "Eukaryotic large subunit ribosomal RNA", at positions 35 to 955 of the family's 3401-position model. Lineage: Eukaryota; Fungi; Basidiomycota; Agaricomycetes; Agaricales; Agaricaceae. The record is from RNAcentral.